Ciona intestinalis (vase tunicate) is the source of this 1266-nucleotide non-coding RNA. The record is from RefSeq and is a predicted model, not a curated record. NCBI's taxonomy places the organism in Eukaryota, Metazoa, Chordata, Ascidiacea, Phlebobranchia, Cionidae.
CCCUACUAAUUAAUAAUUGUAUUACGUUAUGUAUAUAUAUUGUAACAGAAAGUCUUUAGUCAAAUUCAAUGGAAAAAAUAUUGGCAAUAUAUCAUUUAACAAAACAUGCUUUUAAUUUAGUAACGGAUACAUCAGUAGACUUUAAUAGAUAUGCUGUUCGUUUUCAUUCUGUUAAAUUUGAUCGCCGUAACAUCAACCAAUGGUAGUUGGCAUCAACUUGAUGGCAUCGAAUAUUACAUUGAGUAUACAGAAGUUAAUGUAACUAACGCGAAGGAAGGUUGUAACGCAAUGAACGCCAUUCUAGCUGCUGUUAAAUCUCAACAAAUUCAAAAUUUCCUCGUGAAAAAUAUUAAUACAACGAUUUUGAACGUCUCGGGGAUGCCAUUUGCAUUCUACAUUGGUUUGAGUCGUACCAGUUCAACUACAUUGCAAUGGUCGGAUGGUACAACAACUAAUACAUCGGUCUUCACUUAUUGGGAUGCCACUGAUGACGUCUAUGAUUACAGGAAACUUUGCGUUACAAUGGGAUUCCACGCUGCAUUUAAUAUAUUAUUUAAAUGGAAGAUUGAAUACUGUCGAAUGACUCUUCGUUAUAUUUGUCAAAGUAUCUUUUUAACAAUUAAAAAUACUAAACCAAUUUAUAUUAUCCGUUGUAAAAUAAUUGUUACUGUUUAAUGGAUAUAUUUAAUUUGUUAUACUGUUGUAGAAAAUACACCAACAACAAUAACAAAUGUCCUAAAAACAGGAACACGUUCGUUCACCUCAGAAGAAACACCAACAACCGAAUAUAAAGAUGAAACAAUCAUCAAAUACAACUAUGCUACAAUAGAUAACUUGAAAAGCUGCGCGCCCAAAACACCAUCGUGGGUUAUCCCUAUCAUCGCGAUUUUAUCUGCAAGUCUUGUAUUCAUGCUAGCACUUGUGCUGUACUUGUGGAAAAGGCUGAGUCAAUCAACUGUGAGAACCUGUAACGUCAAUGAUAACAUGGAUAUGACGCAAGCAUCGGGACAUAUUACAACAUAUGCCACAACUUCUGCUUAUCAACCGCCGUAUUACGAAAACCUAAAGGCGCCCGAACCAGCAUAUGAAGAUCUCAAUAACGAAUAAUGGCAUCCAUCUAUGAUAACCCAAGAAAAAAACUUGUAUUUGUUGCUCUGUAUUAUAACACCUGUAGUAUAUAACUGGUCAAAACACUUUUCUAUAUAGUUUUCUCUUAAAUCGUAUCAUGGUGAUAUUGCGUAUGCAACAUUGUAACUUCAACGCUGC